This 2926-nucleotide ribosomal RNA is filed under the name Salmonella enterica subsp. enterica serovar Newport. RNAcentral's name for it is "bacterial LSU rRNA". It matches the Rfam family "Bacterial large subunit ribosomal RNA". Lineage: Bacteria; Pseudomonadati; Pseudomonadota; Gammaproteobacteria; Enterobacterales; Enterobacteriaceae. The record is from RNAcentral.
GGGUUGUGAGGUUAAGCGACUAAGCGUACACGGUGGAUGCCCUGGCAGUCAGAGGCGAUGAAGGGCGUGCUAAUCUGCGAUAAGCGCCGGUAAGGUGAUAUGAACCGUUAUAACCGGCGAUACCCGAAUGGGGAAACCCAGUGUGAUUCGUCACACUAUCAUUAACUGAAUCCAUAGGUUAAUGAGGCGAACCGGGGGAACUGAAACAUCUAAGUACCCCGAGGAAAAGAAAUCAACCGAGAUUCCCCCAGUAGCGGCGAGCGAACGGGGAGGAGCCCAGAGCCUGAAUCAGCAUGUGUGUUAGUGGAAGCGUCUGGAAAGGCGCGCGAUACAGGGUGACAGCCCCGUACACAAAAGCGCAUGUGUUGUGAGCUCGAUGAGUAGGGCGGGACACGUGGUAUCCUGUCUGAAUAUGGGGGGACCAUCCUCCAAGGCUAAAUACUCCUGACUGACCGAUAGUGAACCAGUACCGUGAGGGAAAGGCGAAAAGAACCCCGGCGAGGGGAGUGAAAAAGAACCUGAAACCGUGUACGUACAAGCAGUGGGAGCACCCUUUGGGGUGUGACUGCGUACCUUUUGUAUAAUGGGUCAGCGACUUAUAUUCUGUAGCAAGGUUAACCGAAUAGGGGAGCCGGAGGGAAACCGAGUCUUAACCGGGCGUUAAGUUGCAGGGUAUAGACCCGAAACCCGGUGAUCUAGCCAUGGGCAGGUUGAAGGUUGGGUAACACUAACUGGAGGACCGAACCGACUAAUGUUGAAAAAUUAGCGGAUGACCUGUGGCUGGGGGUGAAAGGCCAAUCAAACCGGGAGAUAGCUGGUUCUCCCCGAAAGCUAUUUAGGUAGCGCCUCGUGAAUUCAUCUCCGGGGGUAGAGCACUGUUUCGGCUAGGGGGCCAUCCCGGCUUACCAACCCGAUGCAAACUGCGAAUACCGGAGAAUGUUAUCACGGGAGACACACGGCGGGUGCUAACGUCCGUCGUGAAGAGGGAAACAACCCAGACCGCCAGCUAAGGUCCCAAAGUCAUGGUUAAGUGGGAAACGAUGUGGGAAGGCCCAGACAGCCAGGAUGUUGGCUUAGAAGCAGCCAUCAUUUAAAGAAAGCGUAAUAGCUCACUGGUCGAGUCGGCCUGCGCGGAAGAUGUAACGGGGCUAAACCAUGCACCGAAGCUGCGGCAGCGACACUGUGUGUUGUUGGGUAGGGGAGCGUUCUGUAAGCCUGUGAAGGUGUGUCGUGAGGCAUGCUGGAGGUAUCAGAAGUGCGAAUGCUGACAUAAGUAACGAUAAAGCGGGUGAAAAGCCCGCUCGCCGGAAGACCAAGGGUUCCUGUCCAACGUUAAUCGGGGCAGGGUGAGUCGACCCCUAAGGCGAGGCCGAAAGGCGUAGUCGAUGGGAAACGGGUUAAUAUUCCCGUACUUGGUGUUACUGCGAAGGGGGGACGGAGAAGGCUAUGUUGGCCGGGCGACGGUUGUCCCGGUUUAAGCGUGUAGGUGUGUGUUCCAGGUAAAUCCGGUUCACUUUAACACUGAGGCGUGACGACGAGGCACUACGGUGCUGAAGCAACAAAUGCCCUGCUUCCAGGAAAAGCCUCUAAGCAUCAGGUAACAUCAAAUCGUACCCCAAACCGACACAGGUGGUCAGGUAGAGAAUACCAAGGCGCUUGAGAGAACUCGGGUGAAGGAACUAGGCAAAAUGGUGCCGUAACUUCGGGAGAAGGCACGCUGACACGUAGGUGAAGUGAUUUACUCAUGGAGCUGAAGUCAGUCGAAGAUACCAGCUGGCUGCAACUGUUUAUUAAAAACACAGCACUGUGCAAACACGAAAGUGGACGUAUACGGUGUGACGCCUGCCCGGUGCCGGAAGGUUAAUUGAUGGGGUCAGCGCAAGCGAAGCUCCUGAUCGAAGCCCCGGUAAACGGCGGCCGUAACUAUAACGGUCCUAAGGUAGCGAAAUUCCUUGUCGGGUAAGUUCCGACCUGCACGAAUGGCGUAAUGAUGGCCAGGCUGUCUCCACCCGAGACUCAGUGAAAUUGAACUCGCUGUGAAGAUGCAGUGUACCCGCGGCAAGACGGAAAGACCCCGUGAACCUUUACUAUAGCUUGACACUGAACAUUGAGCCUUGAUGUGUAGGAUAGGUGGGAGGCUUUGAAGUGUGGACGCCAGUCUGCAUGGAGCCGACCUUGAAAUACCACCCUUUAAUGUUUGAUGUUCUAACGUGGACCCGUGAUCCGGGUUGCGGACAGUGUCUGGUGGGUAGUUUGACUGGGGCGGUCUCCUCCUAAAGAGUAACGGAGGAGCACGAAGGUUGGCUAAUCCUGGUCGGACAUCAGGAGGUUAGUGCAAUGGCAUAAGCCAGCUUGACUGCGAGCGUGACGGCGCGAGCAGGUGCGAAAGCAGGUCAUAGUGAUCCGGUGGUUCUGAAUGGAAGGGCCAUCGCUCAACGGAUAAAAGGUACUCCGGGGAUAACAGGCUGAUACCGCCCAAGAGUUCAUAUCGACGGCGGUGUUUGGCACCUCGAUGUCGGCUCAUCACAUCCUGGGGCUGAAGUAGGUCCCAAGGGUAUGGCUGUUCGCCAUUUAAAGUGGUACGCGAGCUGGGUUUAGAACGUCGUGAGACAGUUCGGUCCCUAUCUGCCGUGGGCGCUGGAGAACUGAGGGGGGCUGCUCCUAGUACGAGAGGACCGGAGUGGACGCAUCACUGGUGUUCGGGUUGUCAUGCCAAUGGCACUGCCCGGUAGCUAAAUGCGGAAGAGAUAAGUGCUGAAAGCAUCUAAGCACGAAACUUGCCCCGAGAUGAGUUCUCCCUGAGACUUAAAGUCUCCUGAAGGAACGUUGAAGACGACGACGUUGAUAGGCCGGGUGUGUAAGCGCAGCGAUGCGUUGAGCUAACCGGUACUAAUGAACCGUGAGGCUUAACCUUACAACGCCGAAG